This 73-nucleotide transfer RNA is filed under the name Marmota monax (woodchuck). RNAcentral's name for it is "tRNA.Ala". Lineage: Eukaryota; Metazoa; Chordata; Mammalia; Rodentia; Sciuridae. The record is from RNAcentral.
NNGGGGUGUGGGUCAAGUGGUAGCUCGCUUGCCUGGCAUGCGCGGGGCGCUGGGUUCGAUCCUCAGCACCACA